CUAGAGUUCUGGGCCGCACGCGCGCUACACUGACGGAGCCAGCGAGUACUUCCUUGGCCGAAAGGCCCGGGUAAUCUUGUUAAACUCCGUCGUGCUGGGGAUAGAGCAUUGCAAUUAUUGCUCUUCAACGAGGAAUCCCUAGUAAGCGCAAGUCAUCAGCUUGCGUUGAUUACGUCCCUGCCCUUUGUACACACCGCCCGUCGCUACUACCGAUUGAAUGGCUCAGUGAGGCGUCCGGACUGGCCCAGGGAGGUGGGCAACUACCACCCAGGGCCGGAAAGCUCUCCAAACUCGGUCAUUUAGAGGAAGUAAAAGUCGUAACAAGGUCUCCGUUGGUGAACCAGCGGAGGGAUCAUUACCGAGUUUACAACUCCCAAACCCAUGUGAACAUACCUUUACGUUGCUUCGGCGGAGCCGCCCCGGCGCCCGGAACCUCUUCGGUUUCGCGGCCCGGAACAGGCGCCCGCCGGAGGCCACAAACUCUUUUGUUUUUACAGUUUCUUCUGAGUGUGCCGCAAGGCAAAAUACAAAUGAAUCAAAACUUUCAACAACGGAUCUCUUGGUUCUGGCAUCCAUGAAAAACGCACCGAAAUGCGAUAAGUAAUGUGGAAUUGCAGAAAUUCAGUGAAUCAUCGAAUCUUUGAACGCACAUUUGCGCCCGCCAGAAAUCUGGGGGGGCAUGCCUGUUCAGCGUCAUUUCAACCUCGAGCUCCCCUCUUUUUGGGAAAACCCGGCGUUGGGAACCGGCCUAAAACCCCCGGCCCCCAAAUGGAGGGGGGGCCGUCCCCGGGGACUCUGCGUAAAAAUAUCCACUCCACCGGGACCCGGGGGGGGCCCCCCUUUAAAACCCCCCUUCC
RNAcentral lists this ribosomal RNA (857 nucleotides) under Ascomycota sp. LM64. RNAcentral describes it as "bacterial SSU rRNA". The stretch from base 1 to 358 matches the Rfam family "Eukaryotic small subunit ribosomal RNA", at positions 1473 to 1831 of the family's 1831-position model. The record is from RNAcentral. Lineage: Eukaryota; Fungi; Ascomycota.